AUUGAACGCUGGCGGCAUGCCUUACACAUGCAAGUCGAACGGCAGCAUGAUCUAGCUUGCUAGAUUGAUGGCGAGUGGCGAACGGGUGAGUAAUACAUCGGAACGUGCCCUGUAGUGGGGGAUAACUAGUCGAAAGAUUAGCUAAUACCGCAUACGACCUGAGGGUGAAAGUGGGGGACCGCAAGGCCUCAUGCUAUAGGAUCGGCCGAUGUCUGAUUAGCUAGUUGGUGAGGUAAAGGCUCACCAAGGCGACGAUCAGUAGCUGGUCUGAGAGGACGAUCAGCCACACUGGGACUGAGACACGGCCCAGACUCCUACGGGAGGCAGCAGUGGGGAAUUUUGGACAAUGGGCGAAAGCCUGAUCCAGCAAUGCCGCGUGUGUGAAGAAGGCCUUCGGGUUGUAAAGCACUUUUAUCCGGAAAGAAAUGGCUCUGGUUAAUACCUGGGGUCGAUGACGGUACCGGAAGAAUAAGGACCGGCUAACUACGUG
Molecule: ribosomal RNA, 490 nt
Filed under: uncultured bacterium
Lineage: Bacteria
Description: partial 16S ribosomal RNA
Rfam family: Bacterial small subunit ribosomal RNA
Source: RNAcentral